RNAcentral lists this long non-coding RNA (577 nucleotides) under Cricetulus griseus (Chinese hamster). RNAcentral describes it as "lncRNA (ENSCGRG00000024293.1)". Lineage: Eukaryota; Metazoa; Chordata; Mammalia; Rodentia; Cricetidae. The record is from RNAcentral.
CGGGGAUCGACUGAGGGGGUUCGGAGACCCGGGAGCGCCCGGCGUCUGCGUGGGUGGUGGGGGAGCUGGGAAGCAGAGGCCCAAGCCGGGGUUGUGGGUUGGAGUACUCUGGGCUGCGGCAGGGAGGGACUCCCCGCGGUGCCUGCUGUUAGCUGUGGGGUGAGGACCGCAGCGAUUGAGGCGCUUCGGGAGGACCCUACCUUCAGGGCAGAGCAUCCAUUCUGGGAAAGCCCUUGCUCACCAGAGCGCCCGGGAAGACAGCGUGGAGGCUGGACAGAGAAGAUUGCUUGGUGCCAGAGAUCGUGGGGCCACCUGUGUCAUCCUUUUGCUUGGGGGGAUGGAAGGCUCCUUUCCAGCGCCAUCACCCGGGGGAGCAUCCUUUGGAUCAAAUUAGAACAAAGGUUAAAUACCUGAAGGUAAAGGUGAGCCACAUGGUUGGCUAAGUUGGGAUGUCAAGGAUGCCUCUGAAAUAGAAAUCACAGUGCUCACAGAUGGACCUGGUUUCUCAAUGUGAAUUGCACAAGACAGCCUCCUAAGAAUGGGUAUGUGAAAUGUCAUAGGCUCUGAGAGGUGUGUU